AAUCAACGCUGGCGGCGUGCCUAACACAUGCAAGUCGAACGCGAAACGCCCCGUUCGGGGGCAAGUAGAGUGGCGUCCGGGUGAGUAACACGUGGGUAAUCUACCUCCGGGUGGGAAUAACUCGCCGAAAGGCGGGCUAAUACCGCAUAAUGCAGCGGCACCGAAUGGUGAUUAGUUGUUAAAGCGGGGGACCUUAGGGCCUCGCGUCUGGAGAGGAGCCUGCGGCAGAUUAGCUUGUUGGUAGGGAAUGGCCUACCAAGGCUGCGAUCUGUAGCUGGUCUGAGAGGACGGCCAGCCACACUGGCACUGACACACGGGCC
This 320-nucleotide ribosomal RNA is filed under the name uncultured bacterium. RNAcentral describes it as "bacterial SSU rRNA". It matches the Rfam family "Bacterial small subunit ribosomal RNA", at positions 32 to 332 of the family's 1533-position model. The record is from RNAcentral.